UGGGGAAUUUUGCGCAAUGGGGGAAACCCUGACGCAGCAACGCCGCGUGAGUGAUGAAGGCCUUCGGGUCGUAAAGCUCUUUUAGUGGGGAAGAAAUCCCAUGGUUACGCCAUGGGUCUGACGGUACCCACAGAAAAAGUUCCGGCUAACUACGUGCCAGCAGCCGCGGUAAUACGUAGGGAGCAAGCGUUGUUCGGAAUUAUUGGGCGUAAAGAGCGCGUAGGCGGUCAGGUAAGUCUGACGUGAAAUCCCGGAGCUUAACUCCGGAACUGCGUUGGAUACUGCCAGGCUUGAGUGUGGGAGAGGAGAGUGGAAUUCCCAGUGUAGAGGUGAAAUUCGUAGAUAUUGGGAGGAACACCGGUGGCGAAGGCGGCUCUCUGGACCACAACUGACGCUGAGGCGCGAAAGCUAGGGUAGCAAACGGG
Molecule: ribosomal RNA, 425 nt
Filed under: uncultured bacterium
Lineage: Bacteria
Description: bacterial SSU rRNA
Rfam family: Bacterial small subunit ribosomal RNA
Source: RNAcentral